AGUGAACGCUGGCGGUAGGCCUAACACAUGCAAGUCGAACGGCAGCACAGCAAGAGCUUGCUCUUACGGGUGGCGAGUGGCGGACGGGUGAGGAAUACAUCGGAAUCUACUUUUUCGUGGGGGAUAACGUAGGGAAACUUACGCUAAUACCGCAUACGACCUACGGGUGAAAGCAGGGGAUCUUCGGACCUUGCGCGAUUGAAUGAGCCGAUGUCGGAUUAGCUAGUUGGCGGGGUAAAGGCCCACCAAGGCGACGAUCCGUAGCUGGUCUGAGAGGAUGAUCAGCCACACUGGAACUGAGACACGGUCCAGACUCCUACGGGAGGCAGCAGUGGGGAAUAUUGGACAAUGGGCGCAAGCCUGAUCCAGCCAUACCGCGUGGGUGAAGAAGGCCUUCGGGUUGUAAAGCCAUUUUGUUGGGAAAGAAAAGCAGCAGGUUAAUACCCCGCUGUUCUGACGGUACCCAAAGAAUAAGCACCGGCUAACAUCGUG
This 492-nucleotide ribosomal RNA is filed under the name uncultured bacterium. RNAcentral's name for it is "partial 16S ribosomal RNA". It matches the Rfam family "Bacterial small subunit ribosomal RNA", at positions 29 to 507 of the family's 1533-position model. The record is from RNAcentral.